This 519-nucleotide ribosomal RNA is filed under the name uncultured eukaryote. RNAcentral's name for it is "SSU rRNA". It matches the Rfam family "Eukaryotic small subunit ribosomal RNA", at positions 1161 to 1698 of the family's 1831-position model. The record is from RNAcentral.
AGGGCACCACCAGGAGUGGAGCCUGCGGCUUAAUUUGACUCAACACGGGAAAACUCACCCGGCCCGGACACUGGAAGGAUUGACAGAUUGAGAGCUCUUUCUUGAUUCAGUGGGUGGUGGUGCAUGGCCGUUCUUAGUUGGUGGAGUGAUUUGUCUGGUUAAUUCCGAUAACGAACGAGACUCUAGCCUAUUAAAUAGAUCGUUGGCUUACAAACGCCGGCGAGACUUCUUAGAGGGACAGGCGGCGAUUCAGCCGCACGAAACAGAGCAAUAACAGGUCUGUGAUGCCCUUAGAUGUCCGGGGCCGCACGCGCGCUACACUGAAGUGAUCAGCGUGCAUUUUGAAACCUACUCUGUCAAGAGUGGGGAACCCAAUGAACCUUCUUCGUGAUUGGGAUAGGGGAUUGUAACUAUUCCCCUUGAACGAGGAAUUCCCAGUAAGCGCGAAUCAUAAGUUUGCGCUGAUUACGUCCCUGCCCUUUGUACACACCGCCCGUCGCUACUACCGAUUGAAUGUUU